RNAcentral lists this ribosomal RNA (238 nucleotides) under uncultured bacterium. RNAcentral's name for it is "partial 16S ribosomal RNA". It matches the Rfam family "Bacterial small subunit ribosomal RNA", at positions 311 to 536 of the family's 1533-position model. The record is from RNAcentral.
CACUGGAACUGAGACACGGUCCAGACUCCUACGGGAGGCAGCAGUGGGGAAUAUUGCACAAUGGGCGCAAGCCUGAUGCAGCCAUGCCGCGUGUAUGAAGAAGGCCUUCGGGUUGUAAAGUACUUUCAGCGAGGAGGAAGGCAUUAAGGUUAAUAACCUUAGUGAUUGACGUUACUCGCAGAAGAAGCACCGGCUAACUCCGUGCCAGCAGCCGCGGUAAGCCGAAUUCCACACACUA